GCUCCAGUGGCCUAGUGGUUAUAGCGUCCGCCUCUGAUGUGGGAGGUCAUGGGUUCAAUCUCCUGUCGAGUU
Potamilus streckersoni is the source of this 72-nucleotide non-coding RNA. The record is from the annotation of a GenBank genome assembly. Lineage: Eukaryota; Metazoa; Mollusca; Bivalvia; Unionida; Unionidae.